Molecule: ribosomal RNA, 250 nt
Filed under: uncultured bacterium
Lineage: Bacteria
Description: partial 16S ribosomal RNA
Rfam family: Bacterial small subunit ribosomal RNA
Source: RNAcentral
GACGAACCGUGCGAACGUUGUUCGGAAUCACUGGGCUUAAAGGGCGCGUAGGCGGGCUACCAAGUCUGUGGUGAAAUCCCCCGGCUCAACCGGGGAACGGCCGUGGAUACUGGGAGCCUCGAGGGAGAUAGGGGCAGACGGAACUGAUGGUGGAGCGGUGAAAUGCGUUGAUAUCAUCAGGAACUCCGGUGGCGAAGGCGGUCUGCUGGAUCUCAUCUGACGCUGAGGCGCGAAAGCCAGGGGAGCAAAC